Molecule: unclassified non-coding RNA, 781 nt
Filed under: uncultured bacterium
Lineage: Bacteria
Description: partial contains 16S ribosomal RNA and 16S-23S ribosomal RNA intergenic spacer region
Rfam family: Bacterial small subunit ribosomal RNA (bases 1-310)
Source: RNAcentral
AUGGAGAAAGAACGGGCAUCAUUGUUCGUAAGGAUGGUGAUGCUUUUGCCACACGGGUGAGUAACACGUAGUUGACCUACCCUGAAAAGGUGGAUAACGUCUCGAAAGGGAUGCUAAUACACCAUAAGCACACGGAGGUUAGAGGCUCCGAGUGAAAAGAGGGAACUCGUUUCAGGAGGGGACUGCGGCCCAUCAGCUAGUUGGUGAGGUAGAAGCCCACCAAGGCGAAUACGGGUAGGGGGCCUGAGAUGGUGGUCCCCCACACCGGCACUGAGAGACUGGCCCUAUUCCUACGGGAGGCAGCAGUGGGACUCCUACGGGAGGCAAUCAGUAGGAUCUUGUGGAAAAACUCGGGCCUUCCAGUUAAUCUGGCGUGCGCUUUUUCCUAUAGUGAAUAGGUAUUACGCCCUCAUUGCAUAUCCUGAGUUACGGACAACAGUUUACAAUCCCUCCCAUUCUUUAUCAUCAUCACACCAGACCCCCACUCCAUUUUACUCUCCUUAACGUUUAACCUAAGCUAAUGCAUUCUUGCGCCCCCUCUGUGUUGUCUGUACUUUCCGAGUCGUGCUGUCACUACAGCUAAGUGUAGUGAUUGUAUUGCUUGGACGGCAAAAAAUCUUUUUUACUUUUUAUUUUUCAGACUGAUAGGUCUUAAAUAUAUUUUGUUUUGUUCAUCAUUUAUGUUCGUCAUUGUAGCUGAUUAGUUCUCUUGAGUCAAUAAUGGACAAAAUAUAAGAUUCGCCAACGGAACUAUUCAGUUUGUGUCUCAGGGAGAGUAUAG